GCCAGACUCCUACGGGAGGCAGCAGUGAGGAAUAUUGGUCAAUGGCCGAGAGGCUGAACCAGCCAAGUCGCGUGAGGGAAGACGGCCCUACGGGUUGUAAACCUCUUUUGUCGGGGAGCAAAGCGAACCACGUGUGGUUCAUUGAGAGUACCCGAAGAAAAAGCAUCGGCUAACUCCGUGCCAGCAGCCGCGGUAAUACGGAGGAUGCGAGCGUUAUCCGGAUUUAUUGGGUUUAAAGGGUGCGCAGGCGGAGGUGCAAGUCAGCGGUCAAAUUGCGGGGCUCAACCCCGUACUGCCGUUGAAACUGGGUGCCUUGAGUGGGCGAGAAGUACGCGGAAUGCGUGGUGUAGCGGUGAAAUGCAUAGAUAUCACGCAGAACUCCGAUUGCGAAGGCAGCGUACCGGCGCCCAACUGACGCUGAAGCACGAAGGCGUGGGUAUCGAACAGGAUUAGAUACCCUGGUA
Molecule: ribosomal RNA, 464 nt
Filed under: uncultured bacterium
Lineage: Bacteria
Description: bacterial SSU rRNA
Rfam family: Bacterial small subunit ribosomal RNA
Source: RNAcentral